This 539-nucleotide ribosomal RNA is filed under the name uncultured Flavobacterium sp. RNAcentral's name for it is "bacterial SSU rRNA". It matches the Rfam family "Bacterial small subunit ribosomal RNA", at positions 96 to 633 of the family's 1533-position model. Lineage: Bacteria; Pseudomonadati; Bacteroidota; Flavobacteriia; Flavobacteriales; Flavobacteriaceae. The record is from RNAcentral.
CGGCGCACGGGUGCGUAACGCGUAUGCAAUCUACCUUUCACAAAGGGAUAGCCCAGAGAGAUUUGGAUUAAUACCUUAUAGUAAUACGACUUGGCAUCAAGAUGUAUUUAAAGAUUUAUCGGUGAAAGAUGAGCAUGCGUCCCAUUAGCUAGUUGGUAUGGUAACGGCAUACCAAGGCUACGAUGGGUAGGGGUCCUGAGAGGGAGAUCCCCCACAUUGGUACUGAGACACGGACCAGACUCCUACGGGAGGCAGCAGUGAGGAAUAUUGGACAAUGGGCGCAAGCCUGAUCCAGCCAUGCCGCGUGCAGGAUGACGGUCCUAUGGAUUGUAAACUGCUUUUGUACAGGAAGAAACCCUUUCACGUGUGGAAGAUUGACGGUACUGUAAGAAUAAGGAUCGGCUAACUCCGUGCCAGCAGCCGCGGUAAUACGGAGGGUGCAAGCGUUGUCCGGAUUUAUUGGGUUUAAAGGGUGCGCAGGUGGUUUAUUAAGUCAGUGGUGAAAGACGGUCGCUCAACGAUUGCAGUGCCAUUGAAAC